Molecule: ribosomal RNA, 886 nt
Filed under: uncultured archaeon
Lineage: Archaea
Description: bacterial SSU rRNA
Rfam family: Archaeal small subunit ribosomal RNA
Source: RNAcentral
GGCGCUGGGAUGGUCUAGGCCAUGCGAGUCAUUGUAGCAAUACAAGGCAGACGGCUCAGUAACGCGUAGUCAACCUAACCUAUGGACGGGAAUAAUCUCAGGAAACUGAGAAUAAUGCCCGAUAGAACACUAUAUCUGGAAUGGUUUGUGUUCCAAAUGAUUUAUCGCCAUAGGAUGGGACUGCGGCCUAUCAGUUUGUUGGUGAGGUAAUGGCCCACCAAGACUAUUACAGGUACGGGCUCUGAGAGGAGUAGCCCGGAGAUGGGUACUGAGACACGGACCCAGGCCCUAUGGGGCGCAGCAGGCGAGAAAACUUUGCAAUGUGCGAAAGCACGACAAGGUUAAUCCGAGUGGUUUCUGCUAAAGGAACCUUUUGUCGGUCCUAGAAACACCGAUGAAUAAGGGGUGGGCAAGUUCUGGUGUCAGCCGCCGCGGUAAAACCAGCACCUCAAGUGGUCAGGAUGAUUAUUGGGCCUAAAGCAUCCGUAGCCGGCUCUGUAAGUUUUCGGUUAAAUCCAUACGCUUAACGUAUGGGCUGCCGGGAAUACUGCAUAACUAGGAAGUGGGAGAGGUAGACGGUACUCGGUAGGAAGGGGUAAAAUCCUUUGAUCUAUUGAUGACCACCUGUGGCGAAGGCGGUCUACCAGAACACGUUCGACGGUGAGGGAUGAAAGCUGGGGGAGCAAACCGGAUUAGAUACCCGGGUAGUCCCAGCUGUAAACUAUGCAAACUCAGUGAUGCAUUGGCUUGUGGCCAAUGCAGUGCUGCAGGGAAGCCGUUAAGUUUGCCGCCUGGGAAGUACGUACGCAAGUAUGAAACUUAAAGGAAUUGGCGGGGGAGCACCACAAGGGGUGAAGCCUGCGGUUCAAUUGGAGUCAACGCCGGA